RNAcentral lists this transfer RNA (58 nucleotides) under Ixodes scapularis (black-legged tick). It matches the Rfam family "tRNA", at positions 8 to 63 of the family's 71-position model. Rfam says of the family: Transfer RNA (tRNA) molecules are approximately 80 nucleotides in length. Their secondary structure includes four short double-helical elements and three loops (D, anti-codon, and T loops). The record is from Rfam by way of RNAcentral. Lineage: Eukaryota; Metazoa; Arthropoda; Arachnida; Ixodida; Ixodidae.
UGGCUCAGUUGUUAGAGCGCUCCACUGGAGAUGGAGAGGUCCCUGGUUCGAUACCAGG